Molecule: long non-coding RNA, 2717 nt
Organism: Piliocolobus tephrosceles (Ugandan red Colobus)
Lineage: Eukaryota; Metazoa; Chordata; Mammalia; Primates; Cercopithecidae
Source: Ensembl
CUUAAGAAAAAUUUUAAAGAAAGUGUUUUAUAAAAAAAGUUCCAAGAUGUUGAAAAAUAAUGGAUUUAACGGUGAUGGUUUAAACCAGUUUAAUCCUUAUCCCAACAAUAAUAAUGGAACUCAAAACAAUGGUACCUCGUUUUCAAACAAUAUGAAUCCGAAUACGCAUAAUGUGACCACCUCUAAAAAUAACAUGAAUCUCAAUCAAAACAGUAUGAAUUCUUAUCAAAAUAAUAUGGGUCCUUAUCAAAAUAACAUGAAUCAUUAUCAAGUUAAUAAUAGUAAUAAUUUGUCAUCAAAUAACUAUAACAACUUCUGUAACAAUAAUAAUAAUAAUAACGUAUAUAACAAUAUGAAUAAUGCAGGUAAUUUAAAUAAUUACAACAACAAUAACAGUAACUAUAACGAUAACUACAACUACAAUAGUAACUGCAGCAAUUACGGCAACUACAACAAUAACAGCGGCUUUAACUAUAAUAAUAGUAGUAAUAGUAAUAUGUACGGAAGGAAUAAUUUUCAAAAUAAAAAUAAUUUUUAUAAUAAACAAAGUAAUAAUAAUAAUGAUAAUAAUAAUAGAGAGGUUUUUUUUUCAGGAGUGAAACAAAACGUAUCUAUUUUUGGUAACAAAGCAAAGAACACUCCUUUCUUUUUAAAAAAUAAUAAUAAUAAUCGUAUUAAUGAUAAUAGUAAUAAUAUUAAUCAUAUAAAGAAUAAAUCUAUGAAGGCUAAUACUAAUUUCCGAUUGAAUGAUUAUGUAAGUAAAGAUAAAACUAUAUUUGGUAAUAGACUAAAAGAAGGUAAACCUCUUUUUGCCAAAAUAAAUGCUAUUAAUUCAUUUAUUUCAAGUAAUAAUUAUAAUCCUAAUAACAAUAUAGAUGGUAAUUUAAAUAGAUUAAAUAGUAGUUAUAAUCAAUUUAAUGCUAACACUAAUUGUGGUCCUAAAAAUGCUUCUUCUUAUUACCCAUAUAAUAUUAAUAAUACUAAUACACUAAAUGAAAAAGAUGAUAAACAGCUUUUAAAUAUGUAUAACGCAAAUGGAAACACUAAUGGUUUAAUCCCUAAUGUACAAUCAAAUAUUAUAGGACCAUCCACUAUGAAUAACCAAAUGAAUAUGGAUCAGUUUUCUUAUCAAAACAAUAGCAUUAAUAACAAUAUCAGUAGCAAUGUUAAUACUCACAACAACUUGCAAAAUUCAUAUUUAUUCAACAAUAGUGAAAGUAAUAAUAGUACUUCUAAUCUUAAUUAUACAUUACCUAAUAACAAUCAGUUUAAUUUGAGCACACAAAAAAAUAUACAAUGUACUACUAUUGAAGCAUCGGCGUUACAAAAUUAUCCUAACGUGUUGCAAAAUAAUAAUAUACUACCGACACCUAUAAGUACUAGUAAUAUAGCACCAAUAAUAAAUACUAGCACAACACCUAUAAGUUCAAAUAUAAUAAACAAUCUGAAUCAAUCUGGUAAUUUUACACAAAAUAAUACAGGUUUACUUGAUUUUAAUAACACAUUAUCAAAUUUUAAUAACAUUAACAAUAGUACUAUUCAUGAACAGAAGGAAUUAAUUAAUAACCAUUUUUUGAAUAACACACAUAUAUCGGGAAAUGUUUUAAAUAGUAGUUUAAAUAAUAACACUAAUGUCACUACCGCCACAAUUGAUAACUCCAAUUCAGCCAUAAAAGAAACAGACUAUGCUAUGGCAACAAAUAAUUUAAAAGAAAUAGGAAAACAAGAUGAACUACCUAUUAAUAGCACUAAUUUAGAAGAAAAACCUAUUACUAAUAAUAGUGAUAUGCUUGCAAAAAAUGAUACACAAAACAUAGUAAAAAAAGGUAAUAAUAAAAUUAAUUUUUGUAAUGAUGAAUUUAUUAACUCAUUAGAAUCUAUAACUAACAACAAUUUAAAUAGUUAUGCUGAAAACAGAUCGACUAUAUAUACUUUUCCUUGCUCACAAUCUUUUAAUAAUGCUGAAUUUUAUUUAAAAGCAAUGGAAGAAUGUAAAAAAGGGGAUAGGCUUGAUGUGGACCCUGAGUUAUAUAAUAAAUUAUUUUCAAAAAAUACUGAACAAGGUUUUAAUGUUUUAAAAGGAAUCAAUACAAACGAAAAAAUAGAUAGUAAAAUGUUUGAUAUGUGUAUUUAUUAUCCUUUUUCUCAUGUAGAAAAAAUUAAAUUUAGAGAACCAGUAGAUCCUAAGAGUGUACGUCAGCAGAUAGUUUUACCCUUCGAAUUAGGUAAAGUUCCAACAAUAAUUUAGUUCACAUCAAAAUUGAACAUAUUUUUAGAAAUGAGUGUAUUCUUGGAUAAAUUAAAUGUUAUCAUUCUUGACCAAUACAAAUGUAAAUACCCAUAGUCCACACAAAUACUUUUAGUUAGCUUUAACAUAUAUACUUACAUUUUUAUAUUUUUCUCAUGUGUGUAUAUAUGUAUAUAUUUAUUUAUAUUUUUAAUUUAUCUAUUUAUUUAUCCUUUCAACUGUUGUAUUGAUCUAGUAAUUAAUUUAUUUUCUAGCACUUAAGCAUAACAUAUAAUACUUUAGUUUACUCAUAUUAUAUUUUACUUUUUUUUUUUUUUUUUUUUUUAUUUGUAAUGUUUUUAAAUGUGAAACAAACACAUAGUGUUUUAUAUAUGUGCGGUAUUUAUUGAAGUUAAGUAAGAUCUUUUUUUAUUUUUGUUAUUUAAUUGUUCAUACACACAUGCAUAAAGUCUUCUACAUGUACGCAUAU